GACGAACGCUGGCGGCGUGCCUAAUACAUGCAAGUUGAGCGCUGAAGGUUGGUACUUGUACCAACUGGAUGAGCAGCGCACGGGUGAGUAACGCGUGGGGAAUCUGCCUUUGAGCGGGGGACAACAUUUGGAAACGAAUGCUAAUACCGCAUAAAAACUUUAAACACAAGUUUUAAGUUUGAAAGAUGCAAUUGCAUCACUCAAAGAUGAUCCCGCGUUGUAUUAGCUAGUUGGUGAGGUAAAGGCUCACCAAGGCGAUGAUACAUAGCCGACCUGAGAGGGGGAUCGGCCACAUUGGGACUGAGACACGGCCCAAACGCCUACGGGAGGCAGCAGUAGGGAAUCGUCGGCAAUGGACGAAAGUCUGACCGAGCAACGCCGCGGGAGGGAAGAAGGUUGUCGGAUCGUAAAACUCGGUUGGUAGAGAAGAACGUUGGUGAGAGUGGAAAGCUCAUCAAGUGACGGUAACUACCCAGAAAGGGACGGCUAACUACGUG
RNAcentral lists this ribosomal RNA (497 nucleotides) under uncultured bacterium. RNAcentral describes it as "partial 16S ribosomal RNA". It matches the Rfam family "Bacterial small subunit ribosomal RNA", at positions 28 to 507 of the family's 1533-position model. The record is from RNAcentral.